CCUACGGUGGGCUGCAGUGAGGAAUAUUGGUCAAUGGACGGAAGUCUGAACCAGCCAUGCCGCGUGCAGGAAGACGGCUCUAUGAGUUGUCAACUGCUUUUGUACAAGGGUAAACCUGAAUACGUGUAUUCAGCUGAAAGUACUUUACGAAUAAGGAUCGGCUAACUCCGUGCCAGCAGCCGCGGUACUACGGAGGAUCCAAGCGUUAUCCGGAUUUAUUGGGUUUAAAGGGUGCGUAGGCGGAUUGAUAAGUUAGAGGUGAAAUGUCCGGGCUUAACUCGGGAACUGCCUCGAAUACUGUUGAUCGAGAGAGUAGAUGCGGUAGGCGGAAUGUAUGGUGUAGCGUUGAAAGGCUUAGAGAUCAUACAGAACACCGAUUGCGAAGGCAGCUUACCAAUCUAUAUCUGACGUUGAGGCACGAAAGCGUGGGGAGCAAACAGGAUUAGAUACCCCAGUAGUC
This 460-nucleotide ribosomal RNA is filed under the name uncultured bacterium. RNAcentral's name for it is "partial 16S ribosomal RNA". It matches the Rfam family "Bacterial small subunit ribosomal RNA", at positions 338 to 795 of the family's 1533-position model. The record is from RNAcentral.